UUUGGUAAUACAGGGACACAAUUUAAUGAUUUUCUUUGCAUUUGUUUUUACAAGAUUCAGAUGCCAAAAACAAAACAGAACAUUAAGUUACCUGAUUUAAAAAAGAAAGUCACAUACGUUUACAACAUCAAAAGAAUAAGACGAAAUAUAAACCUUUGCUACUUACAAUUGAUCUAUACAGAUUAACCAAAUCACAAAUCUGUCACAAUAUAAACGUUUAAUUGUUACAAUGAAUAAGAACAUACAGAAAAUGAUUUAUUUUUAUAAAAUCUUCCUUUGCUUUUUAUUUUAAACUUACCAUUAACUAAAUUAGCUAUGCAGGACUUGUGGGGUACAUGACUAAGAAGGCACCAACAGUACAAAGCAAAGACAAAGCAGUUUUGAGUAUUUUAAGAGUGCUCUACACUGAUACAACACAAGAAAAGGCAACAAUAGUAAGUAAACCAGCUGCAACCUUUAGAAAUUUGUUCUAGAUUUACAAAGGUAGUCCAACUUGUACAUUUCCUCCAAUGUUUCACCUAGUUUGAUCACAGCACAUGCUACAAAAACCACUGUAAGCUUCACUUGACUAAUGUGCACUUUUCACUAAUUUAGUGUCUUGAUUUCAAUUGUUAACUAAACCAUUUGGAACCACAAAUGUAUUUAAAACUUAGUAAAAGGAUUGUUUGGACUCUUUUGUUGAAACCACUGCAUUUACAAAAAUAUUUCCCCUAAAAUCUGGGAUUGCUUGAAGACAUCGCUGUACAAAUAUAAAAGUACUAUGCAAGGGACCGAACUUGUGAGUACAUGGUGUGUAUGUAUAGACCUAUAUUUAUACCAUAUCACGGUGCUGUAACAACACAAUAAAUUUAUCAGUAACCAAGGACUAUAUAAACUACACUAACAUAAGCAAAUAUAUAUUAAUAAAGUUUAAAUCUAUAGUACAGUUGCUCAGCAAACAUCUUCGACAUGGUAUAAAUAUACUGUAGCAUAUUACAGUGGGCAGCAACAACAGGUUUUUCUUUUUCUCAUUCUCUGUAAGGUUGGAAUGUUUUUGACAGUGAACUGUUUACAUUCCUUAUUCCCAAAGCAUCUUUACC
Molecule: long non-coding RNA, 1079 nt
Filed under: Strigops habroptila (Kakapo)
Lineage: Eukaryota; Metazoa; Chordata; Aves; Psittaciformes; Psittacidae
Description: lncRNA (ENSSHBG00005009139.1)
Source: RNAcentral